RNAcentral lists this microRNA (25 nucleotides) under Eptesicus fuscus (big brown bat). RNAcentral describes it as "efu-miR-29c". Its record names the gene efu-miR-29c. Lineage: Eukaryota; Metazoa; Chordata; Mammalia; Chiroptera; Vespertilionidae. The record is from miRBase by way of RNAcentral.
CUAGCACCAUUUGAAAUCGGUUAUG